UAUGUGAUCGUCUCUCGCAUAUCAAUAAGCGGAGGAAAAGAAACUAACAAGGAUUCCCCUAGUAACGGCGAGUGAAGCGGGAAGAGCUCAAAUUUGAAAUCUUAAAGGGUUUCCCUUUACGAAUUGUAGUUUAAAGAAGUGUUUUCUGUUGAGGUUUUGGUAAAAGUUCUUUGGAAUAGGACAUCAUAGAGGGUGAGAAUCCCGUAUUUGACCUUUACUUUCAACUUUGUGAUACACUUUCAAAGAGUCGGAUUGUUUGGGAAUGCAGUCCAAAAUGGGUGGUAAAUUUCAUCUAAAGCUAAAUAUUGGCGAGAGACCGAUAGCGAACAAGUACCGUGAGGGAAAGAUGAAAAGAACUUUGAGAAGAGAGUUAAACAGUACGUGAAAUUGUCAAAAGGGAAGCGUUUGACACCAGUGUUGUUUUUCUGAAAAUCAAUUAAAGAACUGUUUAUGCUAAGCUGUUUAGACUUUAUCAGCUAUCUGUUUAGUUUUGAGCUUUUCUUUAAUGCACUUUUCAGUUAACAAGUCAACAUCAAUUUCUUUUGCUGUAAAAAAGCUUGAGGAAGGUGGCUUGAGAUUCGUCUUAAGUGUUUAUAGCCUCUUGCCUAUGCAGUCGGAGAGAUUGAGGUCUGCAGCGUAGAUCCUUCGGGGCUAAAUGCAUUUGUGCUAAGUUAUAGCAUUUUAUAGACAACUUGUUGACUAUGAUUUGUCUUGUAGCUUACUCGCUUAUGUUAUUUUACCUACGCUUAGGAUGUUGAAGACUCUACAGAGAUA
Molecule: ribosomal RNA, 774 nt
Filed under: uncultured Neocallimastigales
Lineage: Eukaryota; Fungi; Neocallimastigomycota; Neocallimastigomycetes; Neocallimastigales
Description: partial large subunit ribosomal RNA
Rfam family: Eukaryotic large subunit ribosomal RNA
Source: RNAcentral